AGCGUACACGGUGGAUGCCCUGGCAGUCAGAGGCGAUGAAGGACGUGCUAAUCUGCGAUAAGCGUCGGUAAGGUGAUAUGAACCGUUAUAACCGGCGAUUUCCGAAUGGGGAAACCCAGUGUGAUUCGUCACACUAUCAUUAACUGAAUCCAUAGGUUAAUGAGGCGAACCGGGGGAACUGAAACAUCUAAGUACCCCGAGGAAAAGAAAUCAACCGAGAUUCCCCCAGUAGCGGCGAGCGAACGGGGAGCAGCCCAGAGCCUGAAUCAGUGUGUGUGUUAGUGGAAGCGUCUGGAAAGGCACGCGAUACAGGGUGACAGCCCCGUACACAAAAAUGCACAUGCUGUGAGCUCGAUGAGUAGGGCGGGACACGUGGUAUCCUGUCUGAAUAUGGGGGGACCAUCCUCCAAGGCUAAAUACUCCUGACUGACCGAUAGUGAACCAGUACCGUGAGGGAAAGGCGAAAAGAACCCCGGCGAGGGGAGUGAAAAAGAACCUGAAACCGUGUACGUACAAGCAGUGGGAGCACGCUUAGGCGUGUGACUGCGUACCUUUUGUAUAAUGGGUCAGCGACUUAUAUUCUGUAGCAAGGUUAACCGAAUAGGGGAGCCGAAGGGAAACCGAGUCUUAACUGGGCGUUAAGUUGCAGGGUAUAGACCCGAAACCCGGUGAUCUAGCCAUGGGCAGGUUGAAGGUUGGGUAACACUAACUGGAGGACCGAACCGACUAAUGUUGAAAAAUUAGCGGAUGACUUGUGGCUGGGGGUGAAAGGCCAAUCAAACCGGGAGAUAGCUGGUUCUCCCCGAAAGCUAUUUAGGUAGCGCCUCGUGAAUUCAUCUCCGGGGGUAGAGCACUGUUUCGGCAAGGGGGUCAUCCCGACUUACCAACCCGAUGCAAACUGCGAAUACCGGAGAAUGUUAUCACGGGAGACACACGGCGGGUGCUAACGUCCGUCGUGAAGAGGGAAACAACCCAGACCGCCAGCUAAGGUCCCAAAGUCAUGGUUAAGUGGGAAACGAUGUGGGAAGGCCCAGACAGCCAGGAUGUUGGCUUAGAAGCAGCCAUCAUUUAAAGAAAGCGUAAUAGCUCACUGGUCGAGUCGGCCUGCGCGGAAGAUGUAACGGGGCUAAACCAUGCACCGAAGCUGCGGCAGCGACGCUUAUGCGUUGUUGGGUAGGGGAGCGUUCUGUAAGCCUGUGAAGGUGUGCUGUGAGGCAUGCUGGAGGUAUCAGAAGUGCGAAUGCUGACAUAAGUAACGAUAAAGCGGGUGAAAAGCCCGCUCGCCGGAAGACCAAGGGUUCCUGUCCAACGUUAAUCGGGGCAGGGUGAGUCGACCCCUAAGGCGAGGCCGAAAGGCGUAGUCGAUGGGAAACAGGUUAAUAUUCCUGUACUUGGUGUUACUGCGAAGGGGGGACGGAGAAGGCUAUGUUGGCCGGGCGACGGUUGUCCCGGUUUAAGCGUGUAGGCUGGUUUUCCAGGCAAAUCCGGAAAAUCAAGGCUGAGGCGUGAUGACGAGGCACUACGGUGCUGAAGCAACAAAUGCCCUGCUUCCAGGAAAAGCCUCUAAGCAUCAGGUAACAUCAAAUCGUACCCCAAACCGACACAGGUGGUCAGGUAGAGAAUACCAAGGCGCUUGAGAGAACUCGGGUGAAGGAACUAGGCAAAAUGGUGCCGUAACUUCGGGAGAAGGCACGCUGAUAUGUAGGUGAAGCGACUUGCUCGUGGAGCUGAAAUCAGUCGAAGAUACCAGCUGGCUGCAACUGUUUAUUAAAAACACAGCACUGUGCAAACACGAAAGUGGACGUAUACGGUGUGACGCCUGCCCGGUGCCGGAAGGUUAAUUGAUGGGGUUAGCGCAAGCGAAGCUCUUGAUCGAAGCCCCGGUAAACGGCGGCCGUAACUAUAACGGUCCUAAGGUAGCGAAAUUCCUUGUCGGGUAAGUUCCGACCUGCACGAAUGGCGUAAUGAUGGCCAGGCUGUCUCCACCCGAGACUCAGUGAAAUUGAACUCGCUGUGAAGAUGCAGUGUACCCGCGGCAAGACGGAAAGACCCCGUGAACCUUUACUAUAGCUUGACACUGAACAUUGAGCCUUGAUGUGUAGGAUAGGUGGGAGGCUUAGAAGUGUGGACGCCAGUCUGCAUGGAGCCGACCUUGAAAUACCACCCUUUAAUGUUUGAUGUUCUAACGUUGACCCGUAAUCCGGGUUGCGGACAGUGUCUGGUGGGUAGUUUGACUGGGGCGGUCUCCUCCUAAAGAGUAACGGAGGAGCACGAAGGUUGGCUAAUCCUGGUCGGACAUCAGGAGGUUAGUGCAAUGGCAUAAGCCAGCUUGACUGCGAGCGUGACGGCGCGAGCAGGUGCGAAAGCAGGUCAUAGUGAUCCGGUGGUUCUGAAUGGAAGGGCCAUCGCUCAACGGAUAAAAGGUACUCCGGGGAUAACAGGCUGAUACCGCCCAAGAGUUCAUAUCGACGGCGGUGUUUGGCACCUCGAUGUCGGCUCAUCACAUCCUGGGGCUGAAGUAGGUCCCAAGGGUAUGGCUGUUCGCCAUUUAAAGUGGUACGCGAGCUGGGUUUAGAACGUCGUGAGACAGUUCGGUCCCUAUCUGCCGUGGGCGCUGGAGAACUGAGGGGGGCUGCUCCUAGUACGAGAGGACCGGAGUGGACGCAUCACUGGUGUUCGGGUUGUCAUGCCAAUGGCACUGCCCGGUAGCUAAAUGCGGAAGAGAUAAGUGCUGAAAGCAUCUAAGCACGAAACUUGCCCCGAGAUGAGUUCUCCCUGACUCCUUGA
This 2787-nucleotide ribosomal RNA is filed under the name metagenome. Its description in RNAcentral is "bacterial LSU rRNA". It matches the Rfam family "Bacterial large subunit ribosomal RNA". The record is from RNAcentral.